GGGCCCGCACAAGCGGUGGAGCAUGUGGUUUAAUUCGAUGAUACGCGAGGAACCUUACCAGGGCUUAAAUGCAGAACGACAGACUGGGAAACCAGUCCUUCUUCGGACGAUCUGCAAGGUGCUGCAUGGUUGUCGUCAGCUCGUGCCGUGAGGUGUCGGGUUAAGUCCCAUAACGAGCGCAACCCCUAUCCUUAGUUGCCAGCGAGUAAUGUCGGGGACUCUAAGGAAACUGCCUGCGCAAGCAGUGAGGAAGGUGGGGAUGACGUCAAAUCAUCACGGCCCUUACAUCCUGGGCCACACACGUGCUACAAUGGUGGGGACAACAGGUUGCCAACCCGCGAGGGUGAGCC
RNAcentral lists this ribosomal RNA (350 nucleotides) under uncultured bacterium. RNAcentral describes it as "bacterial SSU rRNA". It matches the Rfam family "Bacterial small subunit ribosomal RNA", at positions 917 to 1269 of the family's 1533-position model. The record is from RNAcentral.